AUGGUGUAUAUGCUGAUGAUGGAAGUGGGGGUGAAGUCAAAAGGCAAAGGAUUAAAUGCAGAAAAAAAGCCACAGGACCCUUUUAGCAGAAAAUCUUGGAGACGUUCUUCGCCCAAAGUCGCCGCGGUUUCCUGCUUCAACAGUGCUUGGACGGAACCCGGCGCUCGUCCCCCACCCCGGCCAGCCGCCCACAGCCAGCCCUCCGUCACCUCCACACCGGGUCCUCGGAUCGCCCCAAGGCCCCCGCCGCCACUCCAGCGCCGCGCAGCCGCCACCGCCGCCGCAGCCUCUCCUUAGCAGCCGCCGUGACAACCGCAUCACCUUCGCAGGUGCGCCAGAACUACCACCAGGAUUCAGAGGCCGCCGUCAACCGCCAGAUCAACCUGGAGCUCUACGCCUCCUGUGUUUACCUGUCCAUGUCUUACUACUUUGACCGCGAUGAUGUGGCUUUGAAGAACUUUGCCAAGUACUUUCUUCACCAAUCUCAUGAGGAGAGGGAACAUGCCAAGAAACUGAUGAAGCUGCAGAACUAACGAGGUGGUCGCAUCUUCCUUCAGGAUAUCAAGAAACCAGACUAUGAUGACUGGGAGAGCGGGCUGAAUGCGAUGGAGUGUGCAUUACAUUUGGAAAAAAAUGUGAAUCAGUUACUACUGGAACUGCACAAACUGACCACUGACAAAAAUGACCCCCACUUGUGUGACUUCAUUGAGACACAUUACCUGAAUGAGCAGGUGAAAUCCAUCAAAGAAUUGGGUGACCACGUGACCAACUUGCGCAAGAUGGGAGCACCCCAGUCUGGCUUGGCAGAAUAUCUCUUUGACAAGCACACCGUGGGAGACAGUGAUAAUGAAAGCUAAGCCUUAGGCGAAUUUCCCCACAGCCACGGGAUGACUUCCCUGGUCACCAAGGCAGUGCAUGCAUAUUGGGGGUUCCUUUACCUUUUCUGUAAGUUGUACCAAAACAUCCACUUAAGUUCUUUGUACCGUUCCUUCAAAUAAAGAAAUUUAGUACCC
Molecule: RNA transcript, 1013 nt
Organism: Sapajus apella (tufted capuchin)
Lineage: Eukaryota; Metazoa; Chordata; Mammalia; Primates; Cebidae
Gene name: ferritin heavy chain pseudogene
Exons: 2
Source: RefSeq, a predicted model, not a curated record